AGAUGUAUUAUGUGCAAAAAUGUGUUGUAGCCAAAUCUCUGAGAUAUCCCCAGACGACAUGUUUGUUGGAACGUCAAAAAAGGUUUUUUCUAUGAGGGAAAAGCUAUCCAAAGAGUGACUCCAAACGCAUGAAAAACUCUCGUCCUGAUCUAGACUAAGGUUGCAUUUUUGGAUAACGGUAUUUAAGUUGCUUUUCCAAGCAAUAAUGAGCAAAAAUUUAGAUUGAGAGCCCUCUGACGAUAUCAGUUGAAAAUCAGAAAGCAUCCAUGGUAUGAACUCAUCGUCUGGUAAAGAAGGAGGAAUUAUGCCCUUCUCGAUGACAACAUUUAAUUUAAAAGAGUGGGCGUUUGCGUUAAGUUUGUAAAUUGAAAAAGAGCCAUGAGAAUUAUCUGGGUAAUACAGAGCGAUGAAAGAAUUAGUGGUGUGAUCUGAAGUUAAAUAAGGAAAGGAUUGUAGAGGAAGUAUAGUCUGUGACAGUUCAAUGGUUUC
Non-coding RNA from Schizosaccharomyces pombe (fission yeast), 489 nucleotides. Lineage: Eukaryota; Fungi; Ascomycota; Schizosaccharomycetes; Schizosaccharomycetales; Schizosaccharomycetaceae. The record is from the annotation of a GenBank genome assembly.